This 246-nucleotide unclassified non-coding RNA is filed under the name Glomerales sp. RNAcentral describes it as "partial contains 5.8S ribosomal RNA and internal transcribed spacer 2". The stretch from base 1 to 65 matches the Rfam family "5.8S ribosomal RNA", at positions 84 to 154 of the family's 154-position model. Lineage: Eukaryota; Fungi; Glomeromycota; Glomeromycetes; Glomerales; Glomeraceae. The record is from RNAcentral.
GUGAAUCAUCAAAUUUUUGAACGCAAAUUGCACUCUCCUCGGAGAGUAUGCCUGUUUGAGGGUCAGCCUAUAAAAAAUCGACAUCGUUGCUGUUUCGCGGUGGCGUUCGUCGGAAAUUGGGUCAUCUUAAAUCCUUUUGAUUUAAGCGACUUAUAAUUUUCUUUUUGUUCUAUGAAUGUGUCUAAGAUGUAUUUCUUUAUACGUCUAAGGUAUCGAUUUUUUUUAGUCGUGAUCAUCAUAUCGGAU